ACUCAAAGGAAUAGACGGGGACCCGCACAAGCGGUGGAGCGUGUGGUUUAAUUCGAUACUAAGCGAAGAACCUUACCCAGGCUUGACAUCCCGAGAAAGUCCCUGAAAGGGGACCGUGCCGCAAGGAACUCGGUGACAGGUGUUGCAUGGCUGUCGUCAGCUCGUGUCGUGAGAUGUACCGUUCAGUCGGCCAACGAGCGCAACCCGCAUCCUGUGUUGUAUUUUUCACAGGAAACUGCCUCAGUUAAUGGGGAGGAAGGUGCGGAUGACGUCAAGUCAGCAUGGCCCUUACGCCUGGGGCGACACACGCGCUACAAUGGGAAGUAACAAUGGGUCGCCAAGCCGCGAGGCGGAGCUAAUCCCAACAAACCUUUUCUCAGUUCGGAUUGGAGGCUGCAACUCGCCUCCAUGAAGCCGGAAUCGCUAGUAACCGCCGGUCAGCCAUACGGCAGUGAAUACGUUCUCGGGUCUUGCACACACCGCCCGU
RNAcentral lists this ribosomal RNA (487 nucleotides) under uncultured bacterium. RNAcentral describes it as "partial 16S ribosomal RNA". It matches the Rfam family "Bacterial small subunit ribosomal RNA", at positions 899 to 1397 of the family's 1533-position model. The record is from RNAcentral.